CAGCCGCCGCGGUAAUACGAAGGGGGCUAGCGUUGCUCGGAAUUACUGGGCGUAAAGGGCGCGUAGGCGGACAGUUCAGUCGGGGGUGAAAGCCCGGGGCUCAACCUCGGAAUCGCCUUCGAUACUGGCUGUCUUGAGUAUGAGAGAGGUGUGUGGAACUCCGAGUGUAGAGGUGAAAUUCGUAGAUAUUCGGAAGAACACCAGUGGCGAAGGCGGCUUACUGGCUCAUACUGGACGCUGAGGUGCGAAAGCGUGGGGAGCAAACAGGAUUAGAUACCCCCGUAGUCCCUGUCUCUUAUAC
RNAcentral lists this ribosomal RNA (301 nucleotides) under uncultured bacterium. RNAcentral describes it as "partial 16S ribosomal RNA". It matches the Rfam family "Bacterial small subunit ribosomal RNA", at positions 509 to 807 of the family's 1533-position model. The record is from RNAcentral.